RNAcentral lists this ribosomal RNA (253 nucleotides) under uncultured prokaryote. Its description in RNAcentral is "partial 16S ribosomal RNA". It matches the Rfam family "Bacterial small subunit ribosomal RNA", at positions 524 to 776 of the family's 1533-position model. The record is from RNAcentral.
GACAGAGGGGGCAAGCGUUGCUCGGAAUCACUGGGCUUAAAGGGCGCGUAGGCGGGUCGGUCAGUCAGGGGUGAAAGCCCACGGCCCAACCGUGGAAGUGCCUUUGAUACUACCGGCCUCGAGGGGGAUAGGGGCGUGCGGAACUCAGGGUGGAGCGGUGAAAUGCGUAGAUAUCCUGAGGAACACCGGUGGCGAAGGCGGGUCUCUGGGCAUCUCCUGACGCUGAGGCGCGAAAGCGUGGGGAGCAAACGGG